GGGUUGUGAGGUUAAGCGACUAAGCGUACACGGUGGAUGCCCUGGCAGUCAGAGGCGAUGAAGGGCGUGCUAAUCUGCGAUAAGCGCCGGUAAGGUGAUAUGAACCGUUAUAACCGGCGAUACCCGAAUGGGGAAACCCAGUGUGACUCGUCACACUAUCAUUAACUGAAUCCAUAGGUUAAUGAGGCGAACCGGGGGAACUGAAACAUCUAAGUACCCCGAGGAAAAGAAAUCAACCGAGAUUCCCCCAGUAGCGGCGAGCGAACGGGGAGGAGCCCAGAGCCUGAAUCAGCAUGUGUGUUAGUGGAAGCGUCUGGAAAGGCGCGCGAUACAGGGUGACAGCCCCGUACACAAAAGCGCAUGUGCUGUGAGCUCGAUGAGUAGGGCGGGACACGUGGUAUCCUGUCUGAAUAUGGGGGGACCAUCCUCCAAGGCUAAAUACUCCUGACUGACCGAUAGUGAACCAGUACCGUGAGGGAAAGGCGAAAAGAACCCCGGCGAGGGGAGUGAAAAAGAACCUGAAACCGUGUACGUACAAGCAGUGGGAGCACCCUUUGGGUGUGACUGCGUACCUUUUGUAUAAUGGGUCAGCGACUUAUAUUCUGUAGCAAGGUUAACCGAAUAGGGGAGCCGGAGGGAAACCGAGUCUUAACCGGGCGUUAAGUUGCAGGGUAUAGACCCGAAACCCGGUGAUCUAGCCAUGGGCAGGUUGAAGGUUGGGUAACACUAACUGGAGGACCGAACC
RNAcentral lists this ribosomal RNA (745 nucleotides) under Salmonella enterica. Its description in RNAcentral is "partial 23S ribosomal RNA". It matches the Rfam family "Bacterial large subunit ribosomal RNA", at positions 1 to 780 of the family's 2925-position model. Lineage: Bacteria; Pseudomonadati; Pseudomonadota; Gammaproteobacteria; Enterobacterales; Enterobacteriaceae. The record is from RNAcentral.